CGACGAGUUUGAUCCUGGCUCAGAUUGAACGCUGGCGGCAUGCCUUACACAUGCAAGUCGAACGGUAACAGGUCUUCGGAUGCUGACGAGUGGCGAACGGGUGAGUAAUACAUCGGAACGUGCCCGAUCGUGGGGAUAACGAAGCGAAAGCUUUGCUAAUACCGCAUAAGAUCUACGGAUGAAAGCAGGGGACCGCGAAGGCCUUGCGCGAACGGAGCGGCCGAUGGCAGAUUAGGUAGUU
RNAcentral lists this ribosomal RNA (241 nucleotides) under uncultured Acidovorax sp. Its description in RNAcentral is "partial 16S ribosomal RNA". It matches the Rfam family "Bacterial small subunit ribosomal RNA", at positions 1 to 250 of the family's 1533-position model. The record is from RNAcentral. Lineage: Bacteria; Pseudomonadati; Pseudomonadota; Betaproteobacteria; Burkholderiales; Comamonadaceae.